CGUUGCCGUACGAUCACUAAAGUUAAGCAACGUCGAACCUAGUCAGUACCUAGAUGGGUGACCGCUUGGGAAUAGCAGGUGCUGUAA
This is a non-coding RNA of Acanthosepion pharaonis, 87 nucleotides long. NCBI's taxonomy places the organism in Eukaryota, Metazoa, Mollusca, Cephalopoda, Sepiida, Sepiidae. The record is from the annotation of a GenBank genome assembly.